GAUCCUGGCUCAGGAUAAACGCUAGCGGCAGGCCUAACACAUGCAAGUCGAGGGGCAGCGGAAGAAGUAGCUUGCUACUUCUGCCGGCGACCGGCGCACGGGUGCGUAACGCGUAUGCAACCUACCUUUAACAGGGGGAUAAUCCGAAGAAAUUUGGUCUAAUACCCCAUAAUAUUUCAGAAGGCAUCUUUUGAGGUUGAAAACUCCGGUGGUUAAAGAUGGGCAUGCGUUGUAUUAGCUAGAUGGUGAGGUAACGG
RNAcentral lists this ribosomal RNA (257 nucleotides) under uncultured bacterium. RNAcentral's name for it is "partial 16S ribosomal RNA". It matches the Rfam family "Bacterial small subunit ribosomal RNA", at positions 15 to 263 of the family's 1533-position model. The record is from RNAcentral.